Non-coding RNA from Sodiomyces alkalinus F11, 82 nucleotides. The record is from the annotation of a RefSeq genome assembly. NCBI's taxonomy places the organism in Eukaryota, Fungi, Ascomycota, Sordariomycetes, Glomerellales, Plectosphaerellaceae.
GCCGGAGUGGCCCAGUGGUAAGGCGUCUGUCUCGUAUCCCAGUGCGAACAGAAGAUCCAUGGUUCGAUUCCGUGCUCUGGCA